GAUGAGGCGUGAGGCAUUAAAGGGGGAUAGUUUGGAGAAUGGAGGAAGAAGAAGGUAUAAUUUAAGUAGCAACAAGGGUGGUAAAGGGUUGAGGCAGGAUGAUUCAGCAAGAAUGGUGGAGAAUGAGAAGGGGACAACACUUGCUUUAAAGGAUAAGGAUAGAGAAAAAAGAAAGGAAAUGAAUUCGAGUUUGACAGAAGAGGAAGAUGAAGAUGAACUGGAGAUGGAGACGCUGAUUGCGAGGGUGAGAGACAAAA
RNAcentral lists this unclassified non-coding RNA (257 nucleotides) under Hevea brasiliensis (rubber tree). The record is from RNAcentral. Lineage: Eukaryota; Viridiplantae; Streptophyta; Magnoliopsida; Malpighiales; Euphorbiaceae.